This is an RNA transcript of Nycticebus coucang (slow loris), 1775 nucleotides long. It is a transcript of the gene named myosin binding protein H like, with no coding region annotated. The transcript is spliced from 9 exons. The record is from RefSeq and is a predicted model, not a curated record. NCBI's taxonomy places the organism in Eukaryota, Metazoa, Chordata, Mammalia, Primates, Lorisidae.
ACUAGCAGUGAAAAUCUCCAGCUGGAGCCCAGCCUCUGGGUAGGCCCAGCAUGGAGGCAGCCACAGGUCCGGAGGUGGCCUCGGGAUCCAAGCUAAAGGUGAAGGAGACCUGCUCACCCGAGGCUGAACGACCCCAAGCUCCAACUGGACAGGAGGCUGGCUGCCCCAGUCACCAGCUCCUGCCUCCCAUAGAAGAGCACCCCAAGAUCUGGCUACCUCGGGCCCUGAGGCAGACCUACAUCCGACAGGUUGGGGACACAGUGAACCUACUAAUCCCAUUCCAGGGCAAGCCCAAACCUCAGGCCAUCUGGACACAUGAUGGAUGUGCCUUGGACACCAGUCGAGUGAGCGUGCGGAAUGGGGAGCGAGACUCCAUCCUCUUCAUCCGAGAAGCCCAACGUGCAGACUCAGGUCGUUACCAACUCCGAGUACAGCUGGGCGGGCUGGAGGCCACUACUACUGUUGACAUCCUAGUGAUCGAGAGACCAGGGCCUCCUCAGAGCAUUAAGUUGGUGGAUGUUUGGGGCUUCAGUGCUACGCUGGAAUGGACACCUCCACAAGAUACAGGCAAUACAGCCCUCUUGGGAUACACUGUGCAGAAGGCUGACACAAAGUCUGGGCUGUGGUUCACGGUGCUGGAGCGUUAUCACCGCACCAGCUGCAUCGUCUCUGAUCUCAUCAUCGGCAACUCCUAUGCCUUUCGCGUCUUUGCUGAAAACCAGUGUGGACUCAGUGAAACAGCCCCCAUCACCACUGAGCUUGCCCACAUCCAAAAAGCAGCUACUAUUUACAAGACCAAGGGGUUUUCCCAGCGAGACUUCUCUGAAGCCCCGAAGUUUACCCAGCCUCUGGCAGAUUGCUCUGCAGUCACUGGCUAUGAUACCCAGCUCUUCUGCUGUGUCCGCGCUUCCCCUCGGCCCAAGAUCAUCUGGCUGAAGAACAAGAUGGAUAUCCAAGGGGACCCCAAGUACAGAGCUCUAACUUACCUGGGCAUCUGCUCCCUAGAAAUCCGCAAGCCUGGUCCCUUUGAUGGAGGCAUCUAUACCUGCAAGGCAGUUAACCCUCUGGGGGAGGCAUCUGUGGAGUGUCGAGUGGAUGUGAAAAGUAAGGCCAGAAGGAGAACUGGUGCCUUAGGGGGCCAAUCAUCUCCUAUCUCCACAGGCGGCAAAAUCCAGGGCCAGAGAUGGCAAGCCUAGGUGGGGAAGGACUUCCCCCUCCAGGCCCUCUCACUGUCAUCAUCAGAAUGCAGUUUUUGGCCGGGGAGGGGUUUGAACCCACCACCUCCGGCAUAUGGGGCCGGCGCCCUACUCCUUUGAGCCACAGGCACCACCCUAUCACCAGAAUGUGUUUUUACUGCCCACUAUCGCAUGCCUCUCCACCACAAUUCUGCAACACAGGAAGAGUCUUUAUUUCUGUUUUGCAAAGGGAGAAACCUGAAACAUAGGGAGGGAACUGGUUUACCAAAGAUAUCCAGUGUUGGUUAAUAAAAAAAUUGCACUAUGGUGGCAAGAGCCCAAGCCAUCUGGUCCUCACUCAGGUCAUUGUUCUUUAAGCUGUACAAUCUUCUGACUCAGGAAAGCUGCAGCUGUUUGUUGGCCUGAUUUUACUUUUCCCGCUGAUUUGUUUAAAGCUCCUUAUUGAGGAUAGCUCAGAGGAGGAACGGCAUUCUGAGGAAGUGCUUCCAGGAAGCCAGACCGUGGCAAGACUGUGUUCAUAAGGAGCUGCAGCACCAUGUCUGGUUUGGACUAAUCUAAAUAAAUGUGUGGAUCCUCAGU